This 583-nucleotide ribosomal RNA is filed under the name Sphingobium sp. MS-YB-2144. RNAcentral describes it as "bacterial SSU rRNA". It matches the Rfam family "Bacterial small subunit ribosomal RNA", at positions 150 to 767 of the family's 1533-position model. The record is from RNAcentral. Lineage: Bacteria; Pseudomonadati; Pseudomonadota; Alphaproteobacteria; Sphingomonadales; Sphingobiaceae.
CGGGAAACUGAAGCUAAUACCGGAUGAUGACGAAAGUCCAAAGAUUUAUCGCCCAGGGAUGAGCCCGCGUAGGAUUAGCUAGUUGGUGGGGUAAAGGCCUACCAAGGCGACGAUCCUUAGCUGGUCUGAGAGGAUGAUCAGCCACACUGGGACUGAGACACGGCCCAGACUCCUACGGGAGGCAGCAGUAGGGAAUAUUGGACAAUGGGCGAAAGCCUGAUCCAGCAAUGCCGCGUGAGUGAUGAAGGCCUUAGGGUUGUAAAGCUCUUUUACCCGAGAUGAUAAUGACAGUAUCGGGAGAAUAAGCUCCGGCUAACUCCGUGCCAGCAGCCGCGGUAAUACGGAGGGAGCUAGCGUUGUUCGGAAUUACUGGGCGUAAAGCGCACGUAGGCGGCGAUUUAAGUCAGAGGUGAAAGCCCGGGGCUCAACCCCGGAACUGCCUUUGAGACUGGAUUGCUAGAAUCUUGGAGAGGCGAGUGGAAUUCCGAGUGUAGAGGUGAAAUUCGUAGAUAUUCGGAAGAACACCAGUGGCGAAGGCGGCUCGCUGGACAAGUAUUGACGCUGAGGUGCGAAAGCGUGGGGA